Molecule: long non-coding RNA, 1489 nt
Filed under: Vulpes vulpes (red fox)
Lineage: Eukaryota; Metazoa; Chordata; Mammalia; Carnivora; Canidae
Description: lncRNA (ENSVVUG00000017744.1)
Source: RNAcentral
AUUACUUACAUCCAGUUGACUGAUAGUGUGAAGACUCCAACUUCAUUUACAAGGGGAUCUAUACAGUACUGUAAUUGGUAUCACCUGAAUAUCACUGCUGCACUAUUACAGUCCCACUUGAAGAACUUCCUUUCACCACUGUCCGUCAAGGUCCGCUAAGUGUUGUAGGAGGCCCCUCUCUUUCUCACCUCUGCCCAGCAGUAGCCUAUCUAGACAUCCAGAACCUCUGAGACCUGCUGUGUGUUUUCUCACAAAGCAGUGCAGUAAGAGAGUCCUCAGGAGGCUUUGCACUCAGAGUUCCAGGCAGAAAAAGAAGAAAGGAGAAUAGAGAGAAGAACAAAGAGGAAUACUUGUGUGUUUGUGGGGACACAUAGAGCAUCCCCUAAGAACUUCCAGAAAUAAUUGUGAGAUGCUUGGGGAGAAGGACUGAUACUCCAUCAUUAACACAGAAUGAAUUUAUUAAGUUUUAUUCUUAUGGAACAAUUGUUGGAGGUAACUCUACUGUCUUCAGUUGUCAUUUUGAGAGAGGAGAUAAUGGAUCACAGAUGCACUUUUCAAAGUUUGAGUCUCAGCCUUGGGGGUUGGCACCUAGGCUCUUCCAAGUUACCUCUUUCCUUAGGCUAUUCCCCUCAGCCCUAGAGUUAGUAGUUGCAAUUUACAUCUCUUAUUCUUAUAUGCCUUAAAGUUCUCUUUACCCUUUUUAGAUGUUAAGCCAAUUUCACCAUUCCUUGUGAAUGGAUACAAGAGUACAGCAUGUCAAAAAUAUGGGGGCAUAAAAGCAGUGUGAGAGUUAUGUCAGCAAAAAUGCUGGACUAAGGUCUUCCAAAAGUUUGCCUCUGCAUAAAAGCAAUGAAAAAUCUGGCAAAAAUGGUCAAAAUCAACUUUUUCAAGACUCUCUAAUUAAGCAAUAGCUUGCAGCAAUCCGGUGAACAUUUACUCAAGAAAAACAGCUAAAUCUCAGGAAGAACAGUGAAAUUUGUGAUAUUUCAACUUGUGACAUUUCAACUGCUCCCAUCUCAUGCUGCCCAGCUCCAUGACAGCCUUGAAAGAGAACUGCCCAACUUCCCAGUACGAGAGGGAGCAGAGCAGCACCAGAAAUCUUCCAUUUGAGAAUUUCCAUUUGAAUUUGGGUAUCCUGAUCUGAGUGGUGGUUCAUUGGAAGAACCAGAGGUUCCAGGCAGUUAUGGAAAUCUCUUCACAAUCCUUAGCUGAUCACUGAGCUAAUUAAAUGAAGUCUUGAGGAAAGAUACAGACUUUACAAAAAAGGAUUUGAAAGCCAAUGAACAGGGACUCCUGGGUGGCUCAGUCAGUUAAGCAUCUGCCUUAGGCUUAGGUCAUGAUCUUAGGGUCCUAGAAUCAAGCCCCAUAUCAGGCUCCCUACUUGGCAAGGAGUCUGCUUUUCCCUAUCCCUCCACCCUGCUCCCUCCCCGUGCUCUCUCAUUCUCUCUCUCUCAAAUAAAUAAAUAAAAUCUUAAAAUGAAGAAAGUCA